This 253-nucleotide ribosomal RNA is filed under the name uncultured bacterium. Its description in RNAcentral is "partial 16S ribosomal RNA". It matches the Rfam family "Bacterial small subunit ribosomal RNA", at positions 524 to 776 of the family's 1533-position model. The record is from RNAcentral.
UACGUAGGUGGCAAGCGUUGUCCGGAUUUACUGGGCGUAAAGCGCGUGUAGGCGGCUUUGCAAGUCGGGUGUGAAAGCCCUCAGCUCAACUGAGGAAGUGCGCCCGAAACUGCAGAGCUUGAGUGCCGGAGAGGGUGGCGGAAUUCCCCAAGUAGAGGUGAAAUUCGUAGAUAUGGGGAGGAACACCGGUGGCGAAGGCGGCCACCUGGACGGUAACUGACGCUGAGACGCGAAAGCGUGGGGAGCAAACAGG